AAAAAAGAGAGACCGCCGUACAACGAAGGACGUAGAUAAUUAAUUUGCUUUGAUUAUAGCUGUCUGGGAAUGGGAAUGAGAGGCAGGGACGGUCGCAAAAACUGAUUCGGAAUCCCUGGCUCUGAAGUGGACUGGCAGACGGAAAUUGAAGUGUUUGUAAUGUAUGCGGAGGGUAGUGGAAAGAAAACGGAUUAGCCAAAGGCUUUUCCAUCUGGCCCUGGCGCCGAGUGCAAAAAGUGAC
Molecule: long non-coding RNA, 241 nt
Filed under: Drosophila guanche
Lineage: Eukaryota; Metazoa; Arthropoda; Insecta; Diptera; Drosophilidae
Source: RNAcentral